This 1016-nucleotide long non-coding RNA is filed under the name Anas platyrhynchos platyrhynchos (common mallard). Its description in RNAcentral is "lncRNA (ENSAPLG00000027108.1)". Lineage: Eukaryota; Metazoa; Chordata; Aves; Anseriformes; Anatidae. The record is from RNAcentral.
AUGUGGAAUGCUCUUGGGCUACCAGUCCCCUGUGUGCCGGUAUUGCAUCUUGUCAUUUUUUCCAGCCUUCCUCUGUUGGGGUUUGUCACAGCAGCUCCUUGCCUGUCUUUCAUUGCCUCUGGGGACGUUCAGUGCUCGGUCCAGCCCAGCUGGUGGGGACCAGGUCCUUGUGUUACAUUCAUGCUAAUUGUGCUGGGCUGUAGAAGCUUCGUUUUCUACUCCUUUUUGGAUGAAAACACUCCACAAGAACAGCCUCGCUGGGCAAGUGGGCAGGGGCGAGCUUGCGGGGUGAGCAGGGGGAGCCCAGUCAUGAGCAGGGCCCACAGCCAGCACGCAGGGCCCCGCGGCUCAGCCGGCACUGCCAGCCAAGACGCGCCAAUAUUUAAGCCACGAUGGGCAAACAGCGGGGCCGAGACAAAGGGAGCAGCAGAAAAGCUGGUGAGCAGGAGACAGCAGAGAGCAGCAUGGAGCCACGCUGGCGGCCGCCCACACCACAGGGCCAGGCCUGCGAGGAGGUGCGUGCUGAGGCUGAUAGCACAAGCGCUUCUGGUGCGCAGCCCUGCUCUGUGUGUGGGCAUGUUGCCUCACUUGGCAGCCAGAGCGCUAGCGAGGGUGCUGGGUUUGACUUGGAGAGCACAGGCUCAUUGGCAGUGUUAGUGCCAACAGAAGAUGACGCUUGAGCUCCUGAAGGCUGUUCAAAAGGCAGCAGGAUAAUGCCGUGCAUGGAGCCAUUUCCCUUUCAAAAAGCUUUAACAAGAACCUGCUACCUCUGGGUAAGAAAGUCACUGUAUAAUGUAACCAUGUUAUUUGGUGGCAGGGUGAUCAAACAAAUCACUGCUUGCUACUAAAAAUCCCAGCUGAACAAAUUCCUGCUGGGCGUUUGGUUGAGGUGGAUUUUUCCUUUGUGCCUUCAAUGUAGAUGACUGACCAAAGCCACACUUACAGCAUCAGCAAUUAAAACGUAGCAGCCCCUUAUUUGAACGACAGGGAGGAGGGAACUGUCUGAUAGCUAAAGC